AGAGUUUGAUCAUGGCUCAGAUUGAACGCUGGCGGCAGGCCUAACACAUGCAAGUCGAACGGUAACAGGAAGCAGCUUGCUGCUUCGCUGACGAGUGGCGGACGGGUGAGUAAUGUCUGGGAAACUGCCUGAUGGAGGGGGAUAACUACUGGAAACGGUGGCUAAUACCGCAUAACGUCGCAAGACCAAAGAGGGGGACCUUCGGGCCUCUUGCCAUCAGAUGUGCCCAGAUGGGAUUAGCUAGUUGGUGAGGUAACGGCUCACCAAGGCGACGAUCCCUAGCUGGUCUGAGAGGAUGACCAGCCACACUGGAACUGAGACACGGUCCAGACUCCUACGGGAGGCAGCAGUGGGGAAUAUUGCACAAUGGGCGCAAGCCUGAUGCAGCCAUGCCGCGUGUAUGAAGAAGGCCUUCGGGUUGUAAAGUACUUUCAGCGGGGAGGAAGGUGUUGUGGUUAAUAACCGCAGCAAUUGACGUUACCCGCAGAAGAAGCACCGGCUAACUCCGUGCCAGCAGCCGCGGUAAUACGGAGGGUGCAAGCGUUAAUCGGAAUUACUGGGCGUAAAGCGCACGCAGGCGGUCUGUCAAGUCGGAUGUGAAAUCCCCGGGCUCAACCUGGGAACUGCAUUCGAAACUGGCAGGCUUGAGUCUUGUAGAGGGGGGUAGAAUUCCAGGUGUAGCGGUGAAAUGCGUAGAGAUCUGGAGGAAUACCGGUGGCGAAGGCGGCCCCCUGGACAAAGACUGACGCUCAGGUGCGAAAGCGUGGGGAGCAAACAGGAUUAGAUACCCUGGUAGUCCACGCCGUAAACGAUGUCUACUUGGAGGUUGUGCCCUUGAGGCGUGGCUUCCGGAGCUAACGCGUUAAGUAGACCGCCUGGGGAGUACGGCCGCAAGGUUAAAACUCAAAUGAAUUGACGGGGGCCCGCACAAGCGGUGGAGCAUGUGGUUUAAUUCGAUGCAACGCGAAGAACCUUACCUGGUCUUGACAUCCACAGAACUUUCCAGAGAUGGAUUGGUGCCUUCGGGAACUGUGAGACAGGUGCUGCAUGGCUGUCGUCAGCUCGUGUUGUGAAAUGUUGGGUUAAGUCCCGCAACGAGCGCAACCCUUAUCCUUUGUUGCCAGCGGUUAGGCCGGGAACUCAAAGGAGACUGCCAGUGAUAAACUGGAGGAAGGUGGGGAUGACGUCAAGUCAUCAUGGCCCUUACGACCAGGGCUACACACGUGCUACAAUGGCGCAUACAAAGAGAAGCGACCUCGCGAGAGCAAGCGGACCUCAUAAAGUGCGUCGUAGUCCGGAUUGGAGUCUGCAACUCGACUCCAUGAAGUCGGAAUCGCUAGUAAUCGUGGAUCAGAAUGACACGGUGAAUACGUUCCCGGGCCUUGUACACACCGCCCGUCACACCAUGGGAGUGGGUUGCAAAAGAAGUAGGUAGCUUAACCUUCGGGAGGGCGCUUACCACUUUGUGAUUCAUGACUGGGGUGAAGUCGUAACAAGGUAACCGUAGGGGAACCUGCGGUUGGAUCACCU
RNAcentral lists this ribosomal RNA (1530 nucleotides) under Salmonella enterica subsp. enterica serovar Typhimurium str. 798. RNAcentral describes it as "bacterial SSU rRNA". It matches the Rfam family "Bacterial small subunit ribosomal RNA". Lineage: Bacteria; Pseudomonadati; Pseudomonadota; Gammaproteobacteria; Enterobacterales; Enterobacteriaceae. The record is from RNAcentral.